GGCCGUGCCCUUCAGUAGGUCUUCUCUGUCAAAGUCAGGUCUGACAAGAAGAGUGGAAGCAAAACUGUGCAUCGGGGACAUUUGCAUAGAGGAGCCUAGACUCUUCCAGCUGGCAGAAGCAGGUGCUCCCUCCUCAUGAGGGCUGAAGGAUCAUCCCUUGCUUGAGAGUGUGCAGGCUCACUGGAAGGUGCUUCCAGAAUGACACCUGUGGUGGAGGUUACUUUAAGGGCCACCAUGAUGUCCCCUGAAUUCAGAAGCUUUUCAAUUUUAUGAGGUCCCAUUUGUCAAUUCUGCAAGACUCCACCCUCAGCCCUUCCAGCAUAUGAUAAUCAGGAAAGAGACGAGUAAAAAAGCUGACGUGAGCCAGAAGAUGGAUCAGCAGUGAGAGGUUUUCAGAUCAACUCCUUGAGAAGGAUGCGAAGCUCCAUCCUCUCAGAGUGGAAGGCGCUCCUACUAUCUGUCCUUCAAAG
This is a long non-coding RNA of Rattus norvegicus (Norway rat), 470 nucleotides long. The record is from Ensembl. NCBI's taxonomy places the organism in Eukaryota, Metazoa, Chordata, Mammalia, Rodentia, Muridae.